CAGGCAGAGUGUAUCGGCCGCUCUCCGCUUCGGCGGAGGGAGGAAAGUCCGGACUCCGCAGGGCAGGACGUUCCGUGGUUAACGCGGGAACACCGGUGCAAUAUCGCCGGUGAUGGAAAGUGCCGCAGAAAACGAACCGCCCCGAUUCGUCGGGGUAAGGGUGAAAAGGUGGGGUAAGAGCCCACCGCCCCGAGGGUAACCGAGGGGGCAGGGUAAACCCCGUCCGGAGCAAGAUCAAAUAGGGAGCAAGAGGCGGCCCGCCUCGUUUGAGUUCCGGGUUGAUCGCAUUAGAUAAAUGGCUGAGCCUUCGGGUAACAGAAUCCGGCUUACUGCUCUGUCUGCACU
This 345-nucleotide RNase P RNA is filed under the name Tichowtungia aerotolerans. Its description in RNAcentral is "Bacterial RNase P class A". It matches the Rfam family "Bacterial RNase P class A". From Rfam's summary of the family: Ribonuclease P (RNase P) is a ubiquitous endoribonuclease, found in archaea, bacteria and eukarya as well as chloroplasts and mitochondria. The record is from Rfam by way of RNAcentral. Lineage: Bacteria; Pseudomonadati; Kiritimatiellota; Tichowtungiia; Tichowtungiales; Tichowtungiaceae.